This is a long non-coding RNA of Sapajus apella (tufted capuchin), 104 nucleotides long. RefSeq lists it as uncharacterized. The transcript has 3 exons. The record is from RefSeq and is a predicted model, not a curated record. NCBI's taxonomy places the organism in Eukaryota, Metazoa, Chordata, Mammalia, Primates, Cebidae.
UUUAUACAUUUGCAUAUGUUGAAACAGCCUUGCAUCCCAGGAAUGAAGCCUACUUGAUCAUGAUGGAUAAGCUUUUUAAUGUUCUGUUGGAUUUGGUGUGCCAG